AUGCACGCUGGCGGCGUGCUUAACACAUGCCAGUCGAACGAUGAAGCCCAGCUUGCUGGGUGGAUUAGUGGCGAACGGGUGAGUAACACGUGAGUAACCUGCCCUUAACUCUGGGAUAAGCCUGGGAAACUGGGUCUAAUACCGGAUAGGAGCGUCCACCGCAUGGUGGGUGUUGGAAAGAUUUAUCGGUUUUGGAUGGACUCGCGGCCUAUCAGCUUGUUGGUGAGGUAAUGGCUCACCAAGGCGACGACGGGUAGCCGGCCUGAGAGGGUGACCGGCCACACUGGGACUGAGACACGGCCCAGACUCCUACGGGAGGCAGCAGUGGGGAAUAUUGCACAAUGGGCGCAAGCCUGAUGCAGCGACGCCGCGUGAGGGAUGACGGCCUUCGGGUUGUAAACCUCUUUCAGUAGGGAAGAAGCGAAAGUGACGGUACCUGCAGAAGAAGCACCGGCUAACUACGUG
This 465-nucleotide ribosomal RNA is filed under the name uncultured bacterium. Its description in RNAcentral is "partial 16S ribosomal RNA". It matches the Rfam family "Bacterial small subunit ribosomal RNA", at positions 29 to 507 of the family's 1533-position model. The record is from RNAcentral.